RNAcentral lists this ribosomal RNA (468 nucleotides) under uncultured bacterium. RNAcentral describes it as "partial 16S ribosomal RNA". It matches the Rfam family "Bacterial small subunit ribosomal RNA", at positions 28 to 507 of the family's 1533-position model. The record is from RNAcentral.
GACGAACGCUGGCGGCGUGCUUAAUACAUGCAAGUCGAACGGAAGGGCCCUGCUCUUGCGGGGUGCACGAGUGGCGCACACGUGUGUAACACGCGAGUAACAUCCCCUUAACUUUGGGAUAACUCCAGGGAAAUGGGGCGCUUACACCACAGAAGCUUCCGCUGCACGGGGGUGGUUGGAAAGUUGCGGCGGUUGGGGAUGGACUCGGGGCUUCUCAGCUUGCUGGAGGGGUAGUGGCUUACAACGGCUUAGACGGGUAGCCGGCCUGAGAAGGUGACCGGCCACAAUGGGACUGAGAGACGCCCCAGACGCGAACGGGAGGCAGCAGUGGGGAGUAUUACACAGUGGGCGGAAGCCAGAUGCAGCAACUCCGGGUGCGGGAAGACGUCCUGCGGGUGGUAAACCGCUGUCGCCGGUGACGAAGCGUGAGUGACGGUAAUGGGUAAAGAAGCACCGGCUAACUACGUG